CGAUAGAGGUUGCGGAGAUUAAGAGUAUGCACAUCAUAUGGGUUCGCACCCUGUGCAGAAAGGAUGAUCCGCCGAAGGAUAGAUGGCCGCAGGCCAGCCGUCCUGGGACGCCGUAAUAAGAUGCGGCGGACUGUCACGAAAGUGGAGCGCUAUCAU
RNAcentral lists this non-coding RNA (156 nucleotides) under bovine gut metagenome. Its description in RNAcentral is "Lysine riboswitch". It matches the Rfam family "Lysine riboswitch aptamer". From Rfam's summary of the family: Riboswitches are metabolite binding domains within certain messenger RNAs that serve as precision sensors for their corresponding targets. Allosteric rearrangement of mRNA structure is mediated by ligand binding, and this results in modulation of gene expression. This family includes riboswitches that sense lysine in a number of genes involved in lysine metabolism, including lysC. The record is from RNAcentral.